UCCCUCACCCUGUUCUGGUCUGGCAGGUUUCCCUGUCCAGGACUCCAGCAACUGCAGAUGCAAGAAAGAGAAAGGCCAGUCCUCCCGCCAAGUGCCAGGACACCAUCAAUGCCUGAUGAUAAAUAUCAAUGAACUGGAUGACCUCUAUGGGUCCUUGUGCCAAGCAGUGAAAACAGCCAGAGGCAUCCAGCUCAUGACCAAGGACAUAAGUCAGUCUUUGACCUCUGACCUGAACAAAGCCCGGACUCUGAGGGAAAAAGUCUACAUUACCCUUUUGAAAACUGUAACUUCUUAAGGACUAUUAAGAAGAAGGGGAAUGAGAAAAAAUAAUUGGAGCAAUUGUUAGUUUCUUCAUGAUCAAAGCAACAUCCUUGGCUUACUCCUUUGAAAAAGACCUGAUUGGGCAAUUUUCCACUGGAGUUUUGGAGUACCAAGGGGUUGAGGUUCACAGGUUUUGAAAGUCAGCAGCAGGCUACCAAACCAUCAGCUUCUCAUUGGUCUGAGAAAGGUUCCCCACUGGCUUGUUCGGAGGGAAAUCUCAAGAGGUGAUUUUAGACACUGCUAUUCACUGUGACGUUCUUGAUGCAAACCUUCUCUCCACUUCCUCCUGUACCUGUCACACACUCGUUGGGCAUUCGAAUGAUGUAGCCCUGAGGCAGACCUUAAGAAAAAGCUCAAGGUUUUUUGUUUUGUUUUUUCAACAUCUCCUGUUCCAGUGUGAUGACUGGCGAAGUGCCCUCUGCAGCAAUGCGUGCCUCAGCAUGCCUAGAAAAUGUUUGUAUUGGUGACAUUCGUAUAUUGUGGGUAUUUUACCCUAUUUUCAUUUUAGAGGUGAAUGGAGAAGAGUGAAGGCCAAGUAGGUUCUUGUGCGUGUCAUUAACAUAGGCACCGUGUGGCCCUUCUUCAAGUCAUGUCUGUGCCGAUGAAGCAAAGGAAAGGAAAGAAAUCAAGAAACAAGAAUUUGUUGUUCUAGUUGUUGUUUUCUCAGGAUGAAUGUCAACUGAAAAACUGAGGAAUUUAUUGUGAAUAAAUUUUAAAUUCCCCUUCCUCCA
Molecule: long non-coding RNA, 1052 nt
Filed under: Vombatus ursinus (common wombat)
Lineage: Eukaryota; Metazoa; Chordata; Mammalia; Diprotodontia; Vombatidae
Description: lncRNA (ENSVURG00010014162.1)
Source: RNAcentral